Molecule: ribosomal RNA, 882 nt
Filed under: uncultured bacterium
Lineage: Bacteria
Description: bacterial SSU rRNA
Rfam family: Bacterial small subunit ribosomal RNA
Source: RNAcentral
ACACAUGCAAGUCGAACGAGAAUCUACUGAAAGAGUUUUCGGACAAUGGAUGUAGAGGAAAGUGGCGGACGGGUGAGUAACGCGUGAGGAACCUGCCUUGAAGAGGGGGACAACAGUUGGAAACGACUGCUAAUACCGCAUGACGCAUAGAGGUCGCAUGAUCUUUAUGCCAAAGAUUUAUCGCUUCAAGAUGGCCUCGCGUCUGAUUAGCUGGUUGGCGGGGUAACGGCCCACCAAGGCGACGAUCAGUAGCCGGACUGAGAGGUUGAACGGCCACAUUGGGACUGAGAUACGGCCCAGACUCCUACGGGAGGCAGCAGUGGGGAAUAUUGGGCAAUGGGCGCAAGCCUGACCCAGCAACGCCGCGUGAAGGAAGAAGGCUUUCGGGUUGUAAACUUCUUUUAAGAGGGAAGAGCAGAAGACGGUACCUCUAGAAUAAGCCACGGCUAACUACGUACCAGCAGCCGCGGUAAUACGUAGGUGGCAAGCGUUGUCCGGAUUUACGGGGUGUAAAGGGCGUGCAGCCGGGUCUGCAAGUCAGAUGUGAAAUCCAUGGGCUCAACCCAUGAACUGCAUUUGAAACUGUAGAUCUUGAGUGUCGGAGGGGCAAUCGGAAUUCCUAGUGUAGCGGUGAAAUGCGUAGAUAUUAGGAGGAACACCAGUGGCGAAGGCGGAUUGCUGGACGAUAACUGACGGUGAGGCUCGAAAGUGUGGGUAGCAAACAGGAUUAGAUACCCUGGUAGUCCACACCGUAAACGAUGAUUACUAGGUGUUGGAGGAUUGACCCCUUCAGUGCCGCAGUUAACACAAUAAGUAAUCCACCUGGGGAGUACGACCGCAAGGUUGAAACUCAAAGGAAUUGACGGGGGCCCGCACAAGCAG